GACGGACGCUGGCGGCGUGCUUAACACAUGCAAGUCGAACGGAAAGGCCCCUUUGGGGGUCCUCGAGUGGCGAACGGGUGAGUAACACGUGAGUAACCUGCCCUUGACUUCGGGAUAACUUCAGGAAACUGGGGCUAAUACCGGAUAGGAAUCCUUGCUGCAUGGUGGGGGUUGGAAAGCUUCGGCGGUUUUGGAUGGACUCGCGGCUUAUCAGCUUGUUGGUGGGGUAGUGGCUUACCAAGGCUUUGACGGGUAGCCGGCCUGAGAGGGCGACCGGCCACAUUGGGACUGAGAUACGGCCCAGACUCCUACGGGAGGCAGCAGUGGGGAAUAUUGCACAAUGGGCGGAAGCCUGAUGCAGCAACGCCGCGUGCGGGAUGACGGCCUUCGGGUUGUAAACCGCUUUCAGCAGGGGCGAAGCUUGUGGUGACGGUACCUGCAGAAGAAGCACCGGCUAACUACGUG
RNAcentral lists this ribosomal RNA (465 nucleotides) under uncultured bacterium. Its description in RNAcentral is "partial 16S ribosomal RNA". It matches the Rfam family "Bacterial small subunit ribosomal RNA", at positions 28 to 507 of the family's 1533-position model. The record is from RNAcentral.